AUGAUCCAGUAUGCGCACAAAAGAAAGCUGCCGGUCAUUGCCCUGAAGUUGGACUUUCAUAAGGCCUUUGACAGUGUCAGUUGGUGUUGCUUACGCAAGAUUUUUGAUGCCAGAAGUUUUCCGACAGUGUGGAUCAAUUGGAUACACACCCUCUUGACUUCUGGCAGCUCCAGAGUGCUUCUCAAUGGUGAGCUGGGGGACCCCAUUCAGGCAAAAAAAGGCUUUCGGCAAGGGGAUUCUCUAUCACCGUAUUUAUUCAUUCUUGUUGCUGAUGUGCUCCAAAGGAUGCUGUGUCAGUUGUUUCAAAAUGGCUCGUUCGUGCACCCCCUUGGCUCAGACUGCUUUUUCCCGGUUCUACAAUAUGCAGACGACACACUGCUGCUCUUCCAUGGCAGCAUACAGCAAGCAGAGCUAAUUAAGUCUGCCCUCACGGCCUUCUCCGCCUUCUCUGGGCUCACUAUAAACUUCCACAAAAGCACCCUCGUGCCAGUCUCAGUGGAUGCAACUAUAGCUUCUGCUAUUGCUCAGCUCCUCGGGUGCCCGGUUUAUUCUUUUCCAUGUACAUACUUGGGCUACCUCUCUCCUUGCACAAGAUAA
This 597-nucleotide ribosomal RNA is filed under the name Triticum aestivum (bread wheat). RNAcentral describes it as "partial small subunit ribosomal RNA". The record is from RNAcentral. Lineage: Eukaryota; Viridiplantae; Streptophyta; Magnoliopsida; Poales; Poaceae.